This 264-nucleotide long non-coding RNA is filed under the name Hordeum vulgare. Its description in RNAcentral is "long non-coding RNA (HVUL_LNC012270)". The record is from RNAcentral. Lineage: Eukaryota; Viridiplantae; Streptophyta; Magnoliopsida; Poales; Poaceae.
UUUAUUUUAGAACAAUAUUAUUAAAUUUUUGGGGUGUGACGUUCGCUUCCUUAGCUCGUGCCACCGAAGCGUCGCCGUGAAGUUGAGAGGUAGAAAAGGGUUGGAGAGCGAGCGCACCCGAGAGUUCGAACAUUUUUGGGUAUGUGGAGCCCUGAUUCCCACAUUUGGUGCGCCAAGGGGGGGUGCACAUCCGCUCUUCAGCUCCAGUUUUGCUCUGGCUUCACCUACCCCAUGGCCGACGCUCACUCCAUGCCCCCCGGGAGC